AUUAGAGUCGUAUUCACACCUUUUAGAUGAGUCAAAUCUUCUUGCACGUCGGUCCACCUGAUUUGGAGGAAUGGGUGCAAUCAUGUCAUGUUGUUUUAAUUUCUCAAAUAAGCUUGCAUAGGACUCUCCUAUUGGUGUAAAACUAUCUUUAAACCUUUGUUCCCUUCUAUACCCCUGGCUUGGAUGUGGGUUAUAAUGUACUUGGAAAUUUUGCGGAGGCUGGUGGAGAUUUUGUGAUGCUUGUGCUAGCUUUUUUGGGUAAUUCCAACAUACUGGAGUGGAUAGUGAUGCUUAAGGGGGUCAUGGAGAACCUGAUGAGGCUGCACAUACCUUCCGGGUGUUCUCCUAGGAUCUCUUCUUGACCCUGAUAUCAUCAUGAUUUCUUCAUUCGUGUUACCAGAUUCAAUUUGGACAGCUUGAGCUGCAGCUUUAAGAGCCAUUUGACUUAUAAUCCUACCUGUCUUAAGACCAUUCUCAACCAUUUCCCCCAUUUUGAUUGCUUCCGAGAAGGAUUUACCCAUUACGGACGUCAUGUAUUGAAA
This 542-nucleotide long non-coding RNA is filed under the name Nicotiana benthamiana. RNAcentral's name for it is "long non-coding RNA (NBEN_LNC033014)". Lineage: Eukaryota; Viridiplantae; Streptophyta; Magnoliopsida; Solanales; Solanaceae. The record is from RNAcentral.